GAUGAACGCUGGCGGCGUGCCUAAUACAUGCAAGUCGAGCGAACGGACGAGAAGCUUGCUUCUCUGAUGUUAGCGGCGGACGGGUGAGUAACACGUGGAUAACCUACCUAUAAGACUGGGAUAACUUCGGGAAACCGGAGCUAAUACCGGAUAAUAUUUUGAACCGCAUGGUUCAAAAGUGAAAGACGGUCUUGCUGUCACUUAUAGAUGGAUCCGCGCUGCAUUAGCUAGUUGGUAAGGUAACGGCUUACCAAGGCAACGAUGCAUAGCCGACCUGAGAGGGUGAUCGGCCACACUGGAACUGAGACACGGUCCAGACUCCUACGGGAGGCAGCAGUAGGGAAUCUUCCGCAAAGGGCGAAAGCCUGACGGAGCAACGCCGCGUGAGUGAUGAAGGUCUUCGGAUCGUAAAACUCUGUUAUUAGGGAAGAACAUAUGUGUAAGUAACUGUGCACAUCUUGACGGUACCUAAUCAGAAAGCCAUGGCUAACUACGUG
This 497-nucleotide ribosomal RNA is filed under the name uncultured bacterium. Its description in RNAcentral is "partial 16S ribosomal RNA". It matches the Rfam family "Bacterial small subunit ribosomal RNA", at positions 28 to 507 of the family's 1533-position model. The record is from RNAcentral.